Molecule: non-coding RNA, 10570 nt
Organism: Lepisosteus oculatus (spotted gar)
Lineage: Eukaryota; Metazoa; Chordata; Actinopteri; Semionotiformes; Lepisosteidae
Source: RefSeq, a predicted model, not a curated record
ACAGUGGACUGGAGGAUUUUCUUUGCUCUCUGCAGGGUGUUGUCCUGUUGGUUUGACUUGGACCCUGUUGGUAGUGAAAAUGCAGGGUUGACUGUUUCUAAGAAAGGUAGAGGACUUGGGUUAAAUCCUUCUCUCCAUUUCAGGCUCUCUGCUGCCAGUAGGGAUGAGAAGGCUUGUGCUCCUGAGGGAGGACCUUUCAUCUCCAGGAGUGGAGCGCAGAUGGGGCCGGUCUCUUUCCGUGAAGGUCUACUGGAGGAGUAGGGAGCUUGUUCCAAGUCUGAAUGUCAUUGACAUCAGAUGAUCCAGGUUUGACUACAAUGUGUACACUAGCUACAUGGGUAAAGUUUUCAUUGGGUGCAGUACAUGCACCCGGAUACUCUGGGUUUACGUACAAUUGUGUAGACUGUUGUAUGGUGUAUAUUGGGCAGAUGACUUUUGGCAUGUGCAUGGGACAUGUAGCAUAGUGUGUAAACUCCUAUUACUCUUGGCUAUUUUUUUGGACUUGAAAGACGGUUAUCAGGUUAGAGAUGCAGGACAAUCUGAAAGCCAUGCCUUAUCUUUAGUUUACUGCAUGGAGAACUGAGUCUUUGAUUUUGAAACCAAUUUUAACUUGCAGUCUGUUAGUUGUCAUCUUCAGUAUUCAAGCCAGUGUUUUGAUACAAGAAUUUCUGGAGUAAGCAAACUAGAGACCAGGUCAGGGAGAGACCAGUAUUUAAGGUUGGUUAUGUUGAAGUGUUUGCAUUUGAGAUGGCUCCACCAGGAAUUUAAGGAUCUGUGUAGUGAUUAAAUACUUUUUACACUGUAUUCCAAUGAGCAGGUGACAGCUGUCAGACUGGGGAGUAGGGAGCAUUACUGCUGGUGAACUUGGGCUGUGCCGAGUGAACAAUGUGAGCUGAAGGUAAGAAAAGGGGAGAUUCAGGUCAGUGUGAGGAGAGCUUUUAAAGUUGGGAGCAGUCUGCACAGCACAUCCUGGUCCCCUCUGUGUGGAGGAUGGGAGUGGUUAGUCUUGCUUCUUUUACAGUGGUUGACGAUAGGAUGCUAUUGAGGUUUCUAGCUCCUGGUCUCAAGAGAAGAGUGGUAUCCUGGUUAUUUGUUCACAGAACAGCCUCUCAAUGUGGCUAGACCACAGUGGUGCUGAGGGGUACGAGUGACUCUAGAAUGUUUUUUUAUUUAGAGUGGAAUGCUCCGAUUGGCGCUCCCCAGUCCCUGCCCACCUGAAUGCAAACAGUGCUGAUGGACGUCUUGUUUGGAGAUGAGAAUCCAUUGAACAGUAUUGGCCGUCUGAAUGGAUAUCGUGAAUGUUUUGUGAAUAUUGAACACGUGGGGAGGUUGUGGAGAACAUUGUCCACUCAUUGAGUUUUGGCACUUUGCAUCUUGGGACUGUGGUUCUCUACCCUUUCCCAAAACAGACAAUGGAAAUAUCAAACUAUAGUGUUUGAUUUAAAAGUAUCUUGUUUAUAUGGAGUCGAGUUUAAGUGUCUUAUCUAGCAAAUUCCAAAUGCAAUGCCUUUUCAGUUUUAUACUAGGCUUAGUUUUGGGAUUCACUGGGCAAGUUGAGCUUCCUGUUGAACUGUAGGCUUUUUUACUGUAGGUGUUUGUUUUGGUGAUGUUUCUUGCUUAAGCAAUUGUAGCACCAGCAGCCUCCUCCUCUUGAGACUCCUUGGAGAUGGGUUCAAACAGUGAAAUACCAUGUCGGGAGACCUAGUCAGAUCAGUGAAUUCCUCACCACUCAAGAGUAGACACUGCAGCUGUGGGCUUGAACCACCUUCAAAGGUAGGAGAGGCUUUCUUUUCCGACUGCUGCUCUGCACACCAGCCUUUUGAUGGCUGUUCCCAGGAGCACCUGAGCCACCUGGCUGGUUGAGCCAAAGUUGACUUUGGUCUAGGUAAGAGGAGACUCUGAUUAUGUAGCCUGCAGCUGCUGGGGUGCUUUGUUGGUUUUUUAGCCUUAAUGAUAGUGUCACUGUAGCAUAAGUACUGGUUAAUCAGGGGAAGGAAGUCAAACACUGAAAGUGUUGUGCAAGCACUGGGGAGGAUUUGGCAAAAUUGUUUAUGGUAUGACUGGAAAAUUAGAGAAUUGUCAGUAUGUAAGAUUUAUUUCAUGGGUGCACACAUGUAUCUAAAUCUUACAUUGGAAAUUUUAAAGUGAAUUGAGUAAACUAAGCUGAGUAUGGCAUCUUCCUGAUUACCCACUGAGACUGUGUUCUGUGAAUGUCCACCACAAUCAAUCCUGUCAGAGGUUUAGUGCACAAAGGAGUGAGUUUCCAGCUGAUUUGGAAGUGGUUGUGUACUGUGCCUUGUGAGGGAGAGAGCUGCAUGAAGACUGUCUGAGGACUUUCUUAUACUGGAUGUGUACUUUAACCAAUGAGCACAAACUGUUAUUGGUGUAAAACUGACUGUGAAGCUUGGUUAAGUGGUUCUGUUGAUCUUUCAGAAAGCCUUUUUAAAGGUGCUUCUAGUCACUGGGGAACGUGAGUCUUAGUUUGACCAUGGGUUCAUCGGUAUGUGUUCAAAGUGUUAUCUCCAUGAUAGUCGAGUGCAUGAUGCAGCUCAAAGACUUCAGUCCACUUGGUGCCCUAUCAAUCAGUUUCGAGUACUGCAUGCUUUUGUUUCAGUUUAAAGUGUUUAAGCUCUAAAGCCUUCUCACCUCAGUUAAGGCUGUAGCUGUUUGGUACUGAAGAUGGAGAGUGUUUUGAUUUCAUACUGCUGUGGAUCCUUGGUGUUUCUGAUUUUUUUUUUUUUUGCAAAACCAGAAGCGGCUUGGCUCAAAUGAAGUUUAAGGCAAAGGUUCUGCUGCACUAGGUAUACACUUCUAGGGUCUCUUUAAAAAGACUGAAUUUCAAGUAGUAUUUUAUUUGGAUAUGCAACUUUGUAUGCAUAAUCAAUUCUGUUUUUUGGUAGUGGUGGUUGAAUUUUAAGGAUGGGUUGUGCUUGAAUGUGCAAUAUGUCUACAUGAACUACUGUAAAUAGGUUUGGUAACAUGUAUCUUGGUCAGUUGGUUAAGCUAAAGGUUUUUAGUUUGGUUCUCAAAUUUUCUACCUUUUGUCUUUUGACGGAUUUGAAUAGUUUUCAUUUCUGGUUUCAGCUAGUAUCCAAGCUAAUCUCAAGUGAGGCAACAGCAUCUAAGUCCAGCGUGAGAACUGGCCUGGGGUAUUGCAACAAGAUCCAGAACCGUCAAUGUUAGUGGUGUCUGUAUCCAUGACGCCAUGUUGCAUGAUGGUCCAGCUCAGAAGAGAGGAGGCUAGCUUCGUCCUGAGUGAGGUGAUCCACCUGCUUCAAGUUCUCAUCUACAGGAAGUCCCGAGCCUCUGAAUAAGGUGGAAAGAGUGGUGGGUAAACAAUCAUCGUACUGGCUGAUGUUCUUGGGCCGUAACCCUCAUCUUCAGUGUGGAUGUUAUUUGCUCUCACUCUAAUCGGUGCACUCUUGAGGCCUAGGUAUAGGUGGGUUUGAAGGUAAGUAGAGGAGGUGGAAGUUUAGCUGUUUUUCCUGAGAUGGGUCAGCAGUGAUGCAGAUCUGUGCAUUUGAUUAUAGUUCAAUCAGUGCUCUGCAUUUCCUGGCCAGCUGAAUGCACAGUGCAGUGACAGGCUUGGAGAACCCUGCUCAGAGGAAGCUCACUGGAUAUCAGCUGUGUGACCGGUUGAUGCCCAUUGGUAAGUAAUGAAGUCUGUGGUUUGAACAGUAGAAAGUGAAGAGGUGCUGCAAGCAGUCCUUGAAGUUCCUGGACGCACAUGGAUCUUGGAGCAGGUGCAAGGGUGGUGUAAUAGAGAACAUGUCCCUGGAGCAGAGGUGAGUUUCACUUUCCCGUCUAACCUUAGCCAUAGCAAACUUGAUGCUAUAUAACCAUUUAGUGUUUAGUUUUUGGACCAAUUCUGGUGGAUAAUGCCAGACUUUAACAUGCUGAAUACUUACACUAUGUUUCUAGAGGUGAAGCUUUUUUCUGGGUAAUUUUUCCUCCCUGCUUGGUUGGGGCAUUUUCUAUACUAAUGUGCACUUGACUGGCUGUCCAUUCUGGCUCUGUAAGACAAUUACUGCUUUGCAUCUGAUUUAUUUCAUGGGUGCACACAUGUAAAUAAAUCAGUUUAGAUGCACAGUAGUACAAUGUUGAUGUGGCACACCAACAGCCUCCUCUACUGUAGACUCCUUGCCGGUUACAGCAUAUCGACCAGGUACUCGUGAUGGGUGUUGGCACAGGAACUUCUCUCCUCACAGGGAAGGAACUGCACUGGAUCCCUCCCCUGUGGCAAGAGCCCUUGACUGGGGGUUUUCUCUUGGCUCUCUGCAGGGUGUUUUCCUGUUUUAUCCUGGACAGAUGCUGCACCAUAAACACUUUACAAGUUUAGUACAAAACUGGGAGUAAAUGUUCUUGUGGUUUUCCAAGUGCAGAGGAUCAUGCCAAAACUGUCUACUAGGUUUUAUGCUGCCGGAAGGGUUGACCAGAUCUUUGCUCCCAGACGGAUGACCUUUCAUCACCAGGAGUGGAGUACAGAUGGGGCUGGUCUCUGGGAUCUUUAGCAAUAUCUGCUGGAGGAAUGGGGUGCUUGUUCAAAGGCUGAAAGUCAAUGGUAACAUCAGAGGAUCUAGUGGGUGUAGCGAGUCUUUCUACCCAGUAAGAGAGAUGGUUCAUCUUGAGAAUACUGGUUACAAGGGGUACUUCAUUUUUCAUUGGGUACAUUUGGGUACUCUGGCUAUGUUGGUUCAUUUGGCUACAUAGAGUAUAUUGGGCAGGCAACCUUUGGCAUGUGCAUAGGAGUUGCAGCAAUGGUGUAGUACAUGGUAGAUUCAACUUUUUCUUUUGCCUACUUAGUUUUGCACUUACAGUGGACUUGAAAGACCCUAAUAUCUGGGUUGGAGGAAUGUGGGACAAUAUGAAAGCCUUGUUGUCUUUAGUUCAUUUCAUGGAGAACUGAGUAUUUGAUAGUCUUUAAUUUUAACUGAUCUUGGAAGAGAAGCAAGAACAAUUUGGGUUUUGUAUCUUUGGGUCAGUGAGAUGAGUAUUUGAGGUUGGGUUCAGUUGUGAUCACAGUUAAAGGAAGGAUUAAGCUGAUAAAUUUUUUACACUACAUGCAUAUUCCAGUGACCUGGCGACACCUGUCAGAUGUAGUAAUUCAAAAGGGUCAUGAGCUUCCCUGGAAGUUGGCUGUCGGUAGUAUAAAGGGAGAUGAAGGCUGCCUUCUUACUGAACUUGAUUUGUUUUCAUUGGUUUCAUUGUUUGCAGAUGUAUCAGUCCCUCACCUCAUGUGAGUGUGAUGCCAACCUACAAGAUUGCCCAGCUCUGGGACAAGGAGCCUGCAUUUGGUCAGCUGAAGUUAAGGUGCUGUUUUCCCAGAUCUGUCUCCGUGGGGAGCAAGGAGUGCUACUGCUUGGGGAAGUGGACUUGGGCUUCCCUCAGUGAACAAGUUGGUGCACUGAGAGGCAGCUGUCAGAGUUGGGAUGGUUUUCAGCCCCUGGUCUCAAGAGAAGAGUUGGAAUGCCAUGAUGGGUGCUCCCCAGUCCCUUCCCACCUGAAUGCAGACAUGGAACAGUAUUGGCUGUCUGAAAGGCAUCAGGAGUGUGAUCCAAUUCCUUUCUGUGAGUAUUGAAGUCCUGCAGAUGGAACACCAGAAAGCAAGGAGGGGUUUGAAGCUGCCCUUGCUGAAUCUGCUGGGUAGCUGUGGAUGUAGGAACACAUGCAAAGGUAGUCAUGCAGGGCAUUGGUGAGUUGUCAUUUUUAGUUUCUGUUCUUUGAUUUGGGAAAGUGUAGAGAUGUUCAAGUUGGUCAUUAUACUCAUAUAGAGGUAUAUGGUGUAAAAUGCUAUAUAACUAUCCUCGGAUGGUAAGUAGUACAAAAAAGAAGCGAUGUGCAAAAUCAUGCAUCAACAAUGAAAUAAAGGAUCUAAAGUUAUGGGGAGUGAGGUUGAGGUAGAUUUCAAUGUGUGUUUGAGCUUUAAGAGAAGGUACAGUGAGGGUUCAGAUCAUGGGUGAGAGGCUGGCAGUUUAAUAGUGUGGGGGUAAAAACUGAGUUUGGUAAUCUGGGCCUGAGUGCUCCAGUACCGAUUUCUGGAUGGUAGAAGGUCAAACGCUCUUCUUGCUUGGGUGUGUGGAGUCUUUGCUUGGAGCUUUCCUCAAGCACAGUCUGUCAUAGAUGGACUGGGCAGUUUUCACCACCUGCUGUAGGGCUUUGUGGUCGGCAACACUGCAGAUGCAACCUGUUAGUGUACUGUCUGUUGUGCAUCUGUAUAAGUUGGUGAGGUUCUGGGGACAUCUUGGCCUUCUUCAACUGUCUUUGGAAAUACAGGCUCUGUUGUGCUUUCUUAAUCAGAUAAGUGGACAAUGGACUUGGCACACACCCCUGGGGAACCCCAGUGUUCCGAGUUUGUGUGCUGGAGGUGUGGUUUCCAAGCCUGACAGCCUGUGGUCUGCCUGUCAAAGUCCCAAAUCCCAUUGCAGAGGAUGGUAUUGAGACCCAGUGUACCGAGUUUUUUUUUCUGGAAUGAUGUUAAAAGUGGAGCUGAAGUUGGUGAAUGUUUUUCUUUUUUUUUUUUUUUAAUCCAGAUGGGAUAGGGCAGUGUGUAUGGCAAUGAAGACUGUCAUCUGUGGAUCUGUUGGUACGGGUCUAGUGUUGGAAUUGUUUCCUUAAUGUGCCCCAUGACCAGCCCUUGAAGCACUUUACCAUUAUGGUUGUCAGCGCCACCGUGUGGUAGUCAUUAAGGCCUGUUACUGUGGUUUUCUUUGGUAUUGGGAUGGUGGUUGUCUUGAAGCAGGUUGGGACUACAGCUUGGCCCCAAGACAUGCUGAAAAUGUCUGAAUACACUUGGCAGUUGAUUGGUUUAGGUUCUGAGCAUGGAACUGGGAAUGAUAUUGGGCCUUGUGCACAUUCACUUUUAGCAGAGAUCUCCUCCACAUUUGCAGAGAGUGAGAGCACCUGGUCGGUUGUGGAGGGUGCAGUUCUGUUGAGUGGAUUCGAACUGACUGUAAAAGGUGUUGAGCUUGUUGUGCAGGGAGGCAUCAUGGGCAGGUGCACAGAUGUUUUCUUUCGUAGUCUAUACCGUCCCACGUGUGUUGGGUCAUGAGUGCUGAAGUGUUCCUCUAAUUUUUGUUUAAGUGUUUUUUGCAUGUUUAAUACCUUUCUUUAGAUUGAUCCCGGCUGACUUGAGUUUUGAUUUAUUCCUUAAUUUGAAUGUUCCAUACCUAGCUUUGAUUAGGUUGUGAACCUCUAUGGUUUCGGUUUAAAAAAGGUUCACUUCUUUUGAGUGUUCCACUUCCAGCACGUCUUGAUGUUGCUAGUGACUAAUGCAUUUUCCUGUACGUCUGUGUGUGAUCCCUGUGUGGCUGCCAUUCUGACUGCUAGUUUUGCUUGCCUGCACAGUUUACUGUAUGUGGGGAGGAGAGACUGAUGUGAGCAGUGUAUAGUACUUCUAGUGCUUCCUUGUCAUUUGAGCUGGGGGGGGAAUGUAGAUGGUGAUAAACUGUAAAUGCUCUCAGCAGAUUAUUGAAACUCUAGAGUGGCUGAGCAGUGUUUUGUGAUGGUAGAUGCGUUGUUGCACCACACAUUAAUAAAAAUGCAUACGUCCUCGCCUCUGGUUUUACCAGACUCUGCAGUUCUGUCCAUGUGGAAGGCAGAAAACCUGUCUAGGUGCAUCGCCUAAUUCUGUCAGUCAUGUUUUGGUGAAUACAUGAGUACACUAGUUGUCAAUUUCAGCUGUGACUCUGGAAAGCUACUGGCUCUUUUAUAAUUAGGAAACAAGUUUAUACAAAAUGUUUAAAUGCCUUUUCAAUUUUGGAUGUGGCUUAUGUUUGUGACUUUGUGGCCAAUUUAAGCUUCCUUAAGUUCAACAGACUAAAAGUGAUAAAUGUAACUGAUGGUCUAUUAUUCUUGGUAAUAGUUGUCUUUCUUGGUGAUUCAUUGUUUCACUUCACUGGCUGUCUUUCUGGCUUUGAAAGAUUUAUUUCAUGGGUGCGUAUCGAAGUAAAUCACUGCAAUAUAAGAGACUUGGCACACCAGCAGACUCCUUGUCAUGUCAGCCAGGUUCUGCUGAUGGGUGGUGGCACAGGCACUGCACCUGAGCCCUGGACUAGCAGUUAUCCUGUUGGCUUGUCUUGAAUGAACAAAGUUGGCUGUGGAAAUGUCUUGAAUGUUUCUAAAACGUGCAGAGGAUCAAGUCUAAAUCUCCACCUGAGUAACUUGCAGAUGUGGUACACUCUAGACUAGGAUUGCAGCUGGGGUUCAUUGUAAGGAUUAAGUUGCCCUAAAACCAAAAUGUUUUCAUUAAAAGUAAGGUUGUCUGUUUUAGUGUAGAAAGGGGAGGGAUGAGUUUCCACCUGUCUGGAAGUGGAUGUGUGCUGUGCUUUGUGAAAAAGGAGGGCUGCUUGAAAACUAAUGCUUUUGUUAGAGGACUCUCGUUUUUCUUUUAAACAAUUGCAACUGCAUGUUGUUCCAUGUACAAGUUUGGUACUGAUGUAUAAUAUACAAAAUGGUGUGUAGUUUUGCCCUGUGUAUCCUGUACAGCAGUCAAGACAGAGGAGAUGUGGCUGUAAAAGUGUGUACUCAGGGAAAGUGGUUGCUGAACCUUUGUUUUCAGAAGAGUUUCUAGUCACUGGGGAAUGUGAGGUUUGGUUUUAUGAAGGGUUUGAUCUGUAUGUGUACAGGCUGUAAUCUCCCUGCAGGUAGAAUGCAUGUAGUGGCUCGAAGGUUUAAAUCCAUUGGUUGUGGCCCAUCACUAGGUUGUGAGUUAUUUUUGCUUUGGAGUUUCAGUUUUAAAUGUUUAAGCUUGAAAACCUUUUCAGUCCAGGCUGCAGUUCUUUGGUACUGAAUAUGGUCAGUGUUUUCUCGUUCUACUGUGGAUCUCAAGGGUAUUGGGGCACCUUGAAUUGUUCUUUAUGUAAAACCAAAAUUUUAAUUUGGUCUUUAAAAGGCACAUUACUGCAUGUCUAGGUCUGCGUUAAAGCCCGAAUUUCAACCUCUACCUGAUUGGAUGUACGACUGAGAAUUUGACUUAAUACCAGGGUAAUUUUAUUAAAAAGAGGGAUUUGUUUGACUGUCUUGUCUACAUGGAAUACAACAAUAAAUGGAUUUGGUCAUCCUUGUUUACCUGGGUUUUUGGACAGUAGAAUCUAAGCUAGAAGCUUUUAGCUUAAUUUUGAGGGAGGAGUUGAGCUGGUCGCUUAUGUUUGCAGAUGGAUGCACCUGGGAUCUGAAGUACUUGAAUGCUUUGUUUUGUACUGUAUGCGAGUUGGUGACAAUUAAGAUGGAGUUUUGAACUGAAUCCAGAGAUUCUUUGGAUAUCUUCUAUUGAAAGAGCAGAACUACAAAGAAGCUGAUAGUUGUCUUUUUGGUUACUGCCUGAAUUGCUGAACUUGUUUGCUGUGUGAUGGAGAGUUUGCAGGAGUUACUGUCUUUUAACACAUGGGUACAUGACACCAUGCUGUUGAUGGGGAGCUCAGUGGCUGGCUAAAAGGAUACAUUUGAUUUGAUGCAAGUAUUAAAGUCCUGCGCUUUUAACAAUGGAGAGUGAAGAGAUGUUUUGCAGGUUAUCCUUAAAAUUCCUGGAUGCCUAUGGAUCUUGGAGCAGUUGUGAAGCAAGUAUCUAGGAGGAUUGUGUUCCUGGAGCAGUGGCUCUGUGCUACCAGACGAGAUGAGCAGGAUUGUGCUUCAGAGGGAGGAUCUUUAAUGACCAAAUCUGCAGCACAGAUGGGGUUGGGCUCUGGGAUGUUUGUGAAGAUCUGCCAGAGGAGUGGGGUGCAAGUUAAAAGCAGCAUCAGAGGAUCGAGACGGCUGAAGACCUAGGUGGACAAGCAAAUUGAUCUAUGUCCUUGGUUCUCUGCUGUCCGGGGGGCUGACCAGGCCUUUGCUGCUGAGAGAGGACCUUUUAACAGGAUGGGAGCCCAGAUGCAGCGGACUGAGAUCUGUCUGCGAAGAUUUGCCGGAAGACUCGUGGGCCCGUUUUUGAUUUCAGAAGACAACGGCCACAGAGGAGCAUUGAAAAUGCUGUACAAGUUCCUAAUGACAAGUGAAGAAUGAGGGGGAGGCCUUUUGUAGGGUGGAAAGAGGUUCAGGUGGUACAUGAACCUAAAAUGAAUCUCUGCAUGCUGGUCUUGUAAUGGCUGUUUGGCUCUUGGAUUGUAACUUUAGCACCUGAGCCACCUGGCAAGGAGGAGACAAAGUAACUUCCGGUGUGGGAAUGGAGAAAGUAUAUUUUGUUACUUGGUAACCAUUUUUGUAAAUUAUGGGCCAUUUGAAAAGCAGAGUUUGAGAGUCUAAGGUCAAGCAAUGAUUUAUUUGCAUGGGUGCACACAUGUACAUAAAUCUUGCAUUGGCUUUAGAGUAAAACUGAAUUGAGCCCCUAAAGUAGAAAUGAAUAAAAGGAGUAGUUAUGCCAUCCACUCGUUUGGGGGAAAAAAGGCAUUGGUUUAGCUGAGAGUUGCUCUUUUUUCAUACCUGCACAGAAAGCACUUUUGUCAUGGGGGGGAUUGUGUUCUGUUUUGUGGAUUUGUAAGUACUUUGCUAGACAAUGUUCUCCUGUAUUGAAUGUAUUUUUGUUUGUAUGGCAUCAUAAUAAAACUUACUAAAUGUACCAAAUCUGUUCUUGUUUCUU